UGGGGAAUAUUGGACAAUGGGGGCAACCCUGAUCCAGCAAUGCCGCGUGGGUGAAGAAGGUUUUCGGAUUGUAAAGCCCUUUUGGCGGGGACGAUGAUGACGGUACCCGCAGAAUAAGCUCCGGCUAACUUCGUGCCAGCAGCCGCGGUAAUACGAAGGGGGCUAGCGUUGCUCGGAAUGACUGGGCGUAAAGGGCGCGUAGGCGGCUUACAUAGUUAGGCGUGAAAUUCCUGGGCUCAACCUGGGGACUGCGUCUAAUACAUGUAGGCUUGAGUGUGAAAGAGGGUCGUGGAAUUUCCAGUGUAGAGGUGAAAUUCGUAGAUAUUGGAAAGAACACCGGUGGCGAAGGCGGCGACCUGGUUCAUUACUGACGCUGAGGCGCGAAAGCGUGGGGAGCAAACAGG
RNAcentral lists this ribosomal RNA (404 nucleotides) under uncultured Acidiphilium sp. RNAcentral describes it as "bacterial SSU rRNA". It matches the Rfam family "Bacterial small subunit ribosomal RNA", at positions 355 to 776 of the family's 1533-position model. The record is from RNAcentral. Lineage: Bacteria; Pseudomonadati; Pseudomonadota; Alphaproteobacteria; Acetobacterales; Acidocellaceae.